AACGAACGCUGGCGGCAUGCCUAACACAUGCAAGUCGAACGAGACCUUCGGGUCUAGUGGCGCACGGGUGCGUAACGCGUGGGAACCUGCCCUUAGGUUCGGAAUAACUCCCCGAAAGGGGUGCUAAUACCGGAUAAUGUCUUCGGACCAAAGAUUUAUCGCCUUUGGAUGGGCCCGCGUUGGAUUUAGCUAGUUGGUAGGGUAAAAGCCUACCAAGGCGACGAUCCAUAGCUGGUCUGAGAGGAUGAUCAGCCACACUGGGACUGAGACACGGCCCAGACUCCUACGGGAGGCAGCAGUGGGGAAUAUUGGACAAUGGGCGAAAGCCUGAUCCAGCAAUGCCGCGUGAGUGAUGAAGGCCUUAGGGUUGUAAAGCUCUUUUACCCGGGAUGAUAAUGACAGUACCGGGAGAAUAAGCUCCGGCUAACUCCGUG
This 434-nucleotide ribosomal RNA is filed under the name uncultured bacterium. Its description in RNAcentral is "partial 16S ribosomal RNA". It matches the Rfam family "Bacterial small subunit ribosomal RNA", at positions 29 to 507 of the family's 1533-position model. The record is from RNAcentral.